CUUGGUGUACUCUGCAGCGGUGUCCUGGACAUGCUGCGCGGCCUCGGUGGACUUCUCCUUGGCGGCGUCGGCAGUCUCGGUGGCCGUCUUCUUCACGGCCUCCGUCUUCUCGCCGAGAAAGCUGGCCGUCUGGUCUUUGCCCUCGACGGCGCGAUCCUGACCGGCUUGCACCGUCUCGGACACCUUCCCCAUGGCCUCGCCGCCCAUCUUUUUGGCCGCCUCGGUGGUCUCGGAGGCAGCCUUCGUGACAGCCUCGCUUUUCUCGCCAAGGAAGCUGCCGGUCUGGUCUUUUGCCUCGACGGCACGGUCCUGGAUGGACUGCCCCGUCUCGGACGCCAUCUUCGUGGCCUCGCCGGCCUUAACUUGGGUCGUCUCCACCACCUCCCCCGACUUCUCUUGUAACCAGCUAGACAUUUUCUAAGUCGAUGAAGUGUUGGUGCCUAAUAAUUUGUGUUCUUCUUUUCUUGCGCUUGUUGUGGAGAGACGUGUGUUCUUCCUUUAUAUAGGCCAUUUGCCCCCUUUGCCGAGGUUGAUAUUGAGGAGAAUAUUACAUUGCUUUCGAAGUAUCUUGGGCUUAUAUGAGAUAUUUUGUUGCCAUGGUAUAUGUCAUUGUCGCCACUUGUCCAUUCAGGAUUCAGCUGUAUAUAUAUGCACAAUGGUAUGUCGACACAACACAGUUGCUUAAGAUCUGUCCAUUGAUAUGUGCUUUUAAAGACAUUUUUCUGGAGUAACAAAUGUGGUUGAAAAAAUGUAUCGCGACCAAGACGAAAAGACUGCUCAAAAAAUGACCAAGACGAAAAGAAAAACGAAAGAAAUUAAUGUUAAUUUGCUAAUUAAUAGCAUUGCAUGUAAUGAAUUAACUACUGCAUGUCGUCUUAGUUGGUCUUAAGUCAUUAAAAACAUAUACGUCCCACGUCUCUUAUUGGUUGAUUCCUUUAUUCAUGUCAAAAAACAAGAAAUAAGAUGAAAGUUAAUGCCUAGCGCCUAAGUGUUUUGGGAUUAUAUGAUUUUCGUAAAAUGACUUGUACACGAAGACGAAGGGAAUACCAUGUUUUACUCAUUUAUCGUCAGACCUUGAGUUUAACACUUUGUAUUUAUAAAUACGAGAAUGCAAACAACCAAACAAAUAAAAUUCACACCACACAUACAAAAUGACUCAUACAUGAAAAUAAUAUGAAACCUGUUGAAAUUGGUAGUGGGCUUUAGGCCCAUUAGAGAAUUUUAGAAAAAUCUCCAAGGGCCCAUGUAGGUGGUGGCAUGACAAGGUGGUGUGAAGUUUAGUCCCACCCCGCUAGUGGAGGAGAAGUUGGACCCCUUUAUAAGGGUCUCUCUUCCACAUGCUAUUGGAGAGUGAGAAGAGAAGGUGCCCUCGCGCACUCCUCCUCCGCCGCCCACCUCGCCUCAUCGCGACGCGGGUUGCGGGAAUGAGCCGAGCCGAGCUCAUACCUACGCGCUUAUUUUUGCCGGUCAGGAACGGAGAAUACGUAACGGACACGACACGAUCCGAGACGUCGGACCGUGGGCUGUUACCGACUCGGACGUGGGUUCGGCCCACGUCUCUCCACCCAGCCGCGUUUAUAAGCAGGCUAUCGCCUACCCUAGCCGUCACGAGAAUCAGAUCGCAUCUGCCUCACGCGUUCGUUCCUUUUGCUGCUGCUGCCUCUGGCGACUCCGUCCCGUUUACCGCGUACACGGUCGACGGGAGAGCACGCCUCCGAAACCCCGCCUCUCCGGUUCCUGUACGGGAGAGGGGCGAUUUGGUUUUUGGGGAGCGAUCACGCGACUGCUCACCUCCGUCUGUCUGCUUCAUCUACGUUCGCGUCGCCCUCGUCAUCGCCAUGUCUUCACCAAGCGAAGCUGACCGUCUCGUCUGCGAGAAGGCCGAAGCCGAGAAGAAGGCGGCAGAGGAUGUUGCCGCUGCCACCGCUUCUGCUACGGCCAAUUGGACGAUCGGAGGGUAUGAUAUGUUUAUCUCUCUCCUAUUUUUGUCUGCACUAGUAGUACUGCCUGUAUGCGUAGAUGUUUUUACUAUAUGCGUAGUACUUGCUAGUAUACUCUGUGAUCAGUAUGUCAUGAACCUAGUCAAUGCCAUGUUAGUAAUUAUUUCAUGGAUUAAUCUACUCGGAAAAUUGCCUAUUUACUCAACAAUCCAAAAACCUAAUUUGUGUAGGAAUUUUUCGAGUAAUGGUUUUGCUGCUGCACUGAAACCGGAUAAGUUUACCGGUACUUUUUUCAAGCGUUGGCAAACGAGAACCACCUUAUGGCUCACGACUAUGAACGUGUUCUGGGUAGCCGGUGUCACUCCUACGGAAACUAUCACUCCUGAACAGGAGAAGAUGUUUAAGGAGGCCACCGUCCUAUUCCUUGGAGCAGUCAUUAGCGUGAUCGGAGAUAAGCUGGUUGAUGCAUAUUUACAUAUGCAUGUUGCCAAGGACUUGUGGGAGGCGCUCGAAUCUAAAUUCGGGGCCACCGAUGCUGGGAGUGAGAUGUAUGUUAUGGAGCAGUUCCAUGAUUACAAGAUGGUUGACAACCGUUCUGUAUUGGAACAGGCUCAUGAGAUAAUAUGCAUAGCUAAAGAACUUGAGGUUCUUAAGUGAAAUUUGCCGGGCAAGUUUGUCGCGGGAUGUAUAAUUGCUAAGCUCCCUAAUUCCUGGAGGAACUUUUCUACUACUCUGAAACAUCAGAGGCGUGAGUUCUCAGUAGAGGACAUCAUCGGCCAUCUGAGUGUUGAGCAGAACUCGAGAGCAAAGGACUCCAAUGGAAAAGCGGUGGAAAGCUCUUCUGCUGCCAAUAUGGUACAUCAGAGGAACUUCAAUUCCCACAAGCCCAAGGGAAAGAAUUCUGUCCAACAGAAUACCGACUUCAAGAAGAAGGGAAAGAAGACCUUCAAGAAGAAUAAGAAGGGAGAUGGCUGCUAUACUUGUGGAUCAGAGGAACAUUGGGCGAACAAAUGCCCAAACAAGUACAAGAAGGCGGCGCAGGACUCCAAGUCUGCCAAUAUGAUUGUGGGCAACAAUGAAAGUGGUGCACCUGGGUACGGUAAUUUACUUACUGUAUUUAUAGUUUGUCAGUCCACCGAUUGGUGGGUGGACACGGGUGCAAAUAUUCAUGUGUGUGCUGACUUAUCAUUGUUCUCUUCUUAUCAUGCCAUCGGUCGCGGGUCCGUAUUGAUGGGGAAUGGCGCGAGUGCUUCUGUUCUUGGUGUUGGCACGAUCGAUCUGAAGUUUACUUCGGGAAGGAUCGUGCAGCUGAAGAACGUGCAGCAUGUCCCCGCCAUCAAGAAGAAUCUCGUUAGUGGCUCCCUUCUGUGUAGAGAAGGGUUUAAGUUGGUAUUCGAGUCUAAUAAAUUAGUAGUUACGAAAUAUGGACUUUUCGUUGGAAAAGGUUAUGAAUGCGGAGGUCUGUUCCGCCUUUCUCUUGCAGAUUUUUGUAAUAAAGUCGUGAACAAUAUUCAUUCGAGUGUUAAUGAAUCUGAAGUUUGGCAUUCGCGUCUUUGUCACAUAAGUUUCGGUGUUAUGUCGCGGCUAGCAAAACUGAAUUUAAUCCCAACUUUCACUUUAGCCAAAAGUUCUAAGUGUCAUUCAUGUGUGCAAGCAAAGCAACCUCGCAAGCCUCACAAGGCUGCAGAGGAGAGACACUUGGCACCAUUAGAACUCAUACAUUCUGAUCUUUGUGAGAUGAAUGGUGUGUUGACUAAAGGUGGAAAGAAAUAUUUCAUGACAUUGAUAGAUGAUUCCACUAGAUAUUGCUAUGUGUAUCUGUUAAAUACUAAAGAUGAGGCUCUACACUACUUUAAAAUCUAUAAGGCAGAAGUUGAGAAUCAACUUGAAAAGAAAAUUAAAUGAGUCCGGUCUGAUCGUGGUGGAGAGUACUUCUCAAAGGAAUUUGAUUCAUUUUGUGCGUAACACGACAUUAUUCAUGAGAGGACGCCUCCCUAUUCACCCUAAUCAAAUGGGGUUGCCGAGCGGAAAAACCGUACUCUAACUGAUUUGGUUAACGCCAUGUUAGAUACAUCGGGUUUAUCCAAGGCAUGGUGGGGGGAGGCUAUAUUGACCGUGUGUCAUGUCCUGAAUAAAGUUCCUACAAAAGAUAAUGAGGUCACUCCCUACGAGGAGUGGUCGAAGAGAAGGACGACGCUCUCGUACUUACGUACUUUGGGCUUCUUGGCGAAAGUCAAUGUACCGAUCCCCAAGAAGCGUAAGCUUGGACCAAAGACUGUGGACUGCGUUAAUUUGGGAUACGCUAAGAAUAGCGUAGGCUAUAGAUUUCUAGUAGUGAAAUCUGAGGUACCUGACGUGAAGGUCGGUACAAUAAUGGAGUCAAGGGAUGCUACAUUCGUUGAGGAUAUAUUUCCCAUGAAAGAUAUGCAAAGCACUUCUAGACAGGAAUCUGAGAUAACUCCUGAGCCUGCCAUUCCUAUGGAAUACUAUGAACAAACACAUGAUGAAAAUCCUGAGGAGGAUGACGAGGAAGCCCGUGGUAGGGGCAAGAGACAAAGGACUGCAAAGACCUUUGGUGAUGAUUUCUUCGUAUGCCUCGUGGAUGAUAAUCCCACUUCUAUUUCAGAAGUGUAUGCUUCUCCAGAUGCUGAUUACUGGAAAGCUGCGGUCCGUAGCGAGAUGGAAUCCAUCAUGGCUAACGGGACAUGGGAAAUCACUGAUCGUACCUAUGGUUGCAAACCAUUGGGAUGCAAGUGGGUGUUCAAAAAGAAGCUUAGGCCCGAUGGUACGAUUGAAAAGUACAAGGCUAGGCUUGUGGCCAAGGGCUAUGCCCAGAAAGAAGAAGAAGAUUUCUUCGAUACUUAUUCACAUGUGGCUAGACUGACCACCAUUCGAGUACUACUCUCAUUGGCGGCCUCUCAUGGUCUUCUCGUUCAUCAAAUGGAUGUUAAGACGGCUUUCCUGAAUGGAGAGCUAAAUGAGGAAAUCUAUAUGCAACAGCCAGAUGGCUUUGUGAUAGAAGGUCAGGAAGGAAAGGUGUGUAAGUUACUGAAAUCUUUAUAUGGUCUGAGACAAGCACCUAAGCAAUGGCAUGAGAAGUUUAAUACAACUCUGACAUCUGUUGGCUUCGUUGUUAAUGAAGCUGACAAAUGUGUAUACUAUCGCCAUGGUGGGGGCGAAGGAGUUAUAUUGAGCUUGUAUGUUGAUGGCAUACUGAUAUUUGGAACCAACCUCAAAGUAAUUGAGGAGGUCAAGUCUUUUCUGUCUCAAAACUUUUAGAUGAAGGACCUUGGGGUGGCUGAUGUUAUCUUGAACAUCAAGCUGUUGAGAGAUGAUGAGGGUGCGAUUACACUUCUGCAGUCCCACUAUGUUGAGAAGAUUUUGAGUCGCUUUGGAUAUUCAGAUUGCAAAAUUUCUCAAACACCAUAUGAUCCUAGUGUGCUUAUUAGAAAGUCUAAAGGCACAACUAUAGAUCAAUUGAGAUUCUCUCAAAUUAUCGGUUCGCUUAUGUACCUAGCUAGCGCAACGAGGCCUGACAUCGCGUUUGCUGUGAGCGAACUUAGCCGGUUUGUUGCAAACCCGGGCGAUGUUCAUUGGCGUGGUGUUGAAGGAAUUAUGCGCUACUUGAAAGGUACUGUCAACCACGGGCUUCACUAUACGGGAUUCCCAUCGGUACUUGAAGGGUAUAGUGAUGCGAAUUGGAUCUCUGAUGCUGAUGAGAUGAAGGCCACCACUGGAUAUAUGUUUACUCUUGGGGGUGGUGCUGUUUCCUGGAAGUCUUGCAAGCAAACGAUCUUAACGAGAUCGACAAUGGAAGCAGAAUUAAUAGCAUUAGACACAUCUGGUGUCGAAGCAGAAUUUCUUCGAGAUCUUUUGAUGGACUUACGUGUGGUUGAGAAGCCGGUUCCGGCUAUCCUUAUGAACUGCGAUAAUCAGACGGUUAUUGUCAAAGUGAAGAGUUCAAAGGACAAUAUGAAGUCCAACAAACAUAUAAGAAUGAGAUUGAAGUCUGUCAGACGUUUGAGAAACUCUGGAGUGAUAGCGUUGGAUUACAUCCAAACGGCUAAGAAUCUGGCAGAUCCCUUUACUAAAGGGCUAUCACGUGUUGUGAUAGAUAGUGCAUCGAGGGAGAUGGGUAUGAGACCCACAUGAGUUGCCAUGGUAGUAAUUCAACCUAUAUGAUCGGAGAUCCCGUGAAGUAGGACCUGGGAAAACAAGCCAGUGGUGAACUAAGGAGAGUAACUUUACUAAACCACUCCGUUGGAGAUGCAAUACUCUCGAAUACUGUAUGGUAGGAUGAUUACUGUCUUAAUAUGUUCUAAGGCUUAUAUAUAAGCAAGAUGCUGUCCUACAGAGCGAUCUUUGGAGAAACACACCUAUAUGAGCUUGACUGCUGGUCACAGUCUAUGAGAUUUGGGUGAUCUCCAGUAAACUCAUGAAUAGGCCUGGAGUGUGACUAAUAUGCUCCACCCGAGGGGUCACCUUCGGCAGUCUAGUACUAGUAAGACUUGUGGUGAAGCUCCUUUACGCCAAACUGACAAUUCAAGGCAUAGUCCAUUGUUCAUUUGUAAAGGGGUGUAGCUACUUGCUCUAGGUGAAGCUCAACCUUAACAGGUCUUCACUGAAAUGUUGGUAUAUUAAAACAGUGAUUGGAACGAGGGAACACGAUGUGCCCUUGAGAUCUGGUGGGGGAUUGUUGAAAUUGGUAGUGGGCUUUAGGCCCAUUAGAGAAUUUUAGAAAAAGCUCCAAGGGCCCAUGUAGGUGGUGGCAUGACAAGGUGGUGGGAAGUUUAGUCCCACCCCGCUAGUGGAGGAGAAGUUGGACCCCUUUAUAAGGGUCUCUCUUCCACAUGCUAUUGGAGAGUGAGAAGAGAAGGUGCCCUCGCGCACUCCUCCUCCGCCGCUCGCCUCGCCACGCCUCAUCACGACGCGACGCGACGCGGGUUGCGGGAAUGAGCCGAGCCGAGCUCAUACCUACGCGCUUAUUUUUGCCGGCCAGGAACGGAGAAUACGUAACGGACACGGACGUCGGAUCGUGGGCUGUUACCGACUCGGACGUGGGUUCGGCCCACGUCUCUCCACCCAGCCGCGUUUAUAAGCAGGCUAUCGCCUACCGUAGCCGUCACGAGAAUCAAAUCGCAUCUGCCUCACGCGUUCGUUCCUUUUGCUGCUGCUGCCUCCGGCGACUCCGUCCCGUUUACCGCGUACACGGUCGACGGGAGAGCAGGCCUCCGAAACCCCGCCUCUCCGGUUCCUGUACGGGAGAGGGGCGAUUAGGUUUUUGGGGAGCGAUCACGCGACUGCUCGCCUCCGUCCGUCUGCUUCGUCUACGUCCGCGUCGCCCUCGUCAUCGCCAUGUCUUCACCAAGCGAAGCUGGCCGUCUCGUCCGCGAGAAGGCCGAAGCCGAGAAGAAGGCGGCAGAGGAUGUUGCCGCCGCCACCGCUUCUGCUACGGCCAAUUGGCCGAUCGGAGGGUAUGAUAUGUUUAUCUCUCUCCUAUUUCUGUCUGCACUAGUAGUACUGCCUGUAUGCGUAGAUGUUUCUGCUAUAUGCGUAGUACUUGCUAGUAUACUCCGUGAUCAGUAUGUCAUGAACCUAGUCAAUGCCAUGUUAGUAAUUAUUUCAUGGAUUAAUCUACUCGAAAAAUUGCCUAUUUACUCAACAAAACCUAUGUAUGAGGCGCUCAGAUCCAAAGUCAAACCGUUCCCAACACGCGGUGCCUUGCCCAUGGGGGUGCACCAACAGAGUGACGUGGUAGAUACGUGUGACCUCGCAGUGUGCCUUUUGCCGACGUUGCUCCGGCCUGGUGUUUCUCGACUUGUGUCUUCGAGUGUUCAUGGUUUUUCCGGCAUCCUCUACCGAUGUGGUUUCGGCCCUAAUAACCCGGUAGUUGUGUUCCUUCCGUCUCCCUCUGCUCGUUGGUGUCUUGACGGUUAUGGCAUCGUCGGCUCGGAUCUGCGCCACUUCCAGUUCCUUGCUCAUUGCCAGCCAAAGCUGUUACAAUCGCGACUCAAGCUUUAGAAUUUUAUGACUUACGAUCCGAACUAAGCCCUCUUAUUCUAUGAUUUCUCUCAUAGAAUCUAAGUUUCUAUGAUCCUGGUAGUUAUGGUUCUACGAUUCACGAUCCUACCAAUGAAGCUCCGGUCUAAUUCAGAAUCUCGAUUCUGACAACUUUGUUGCCAGCUGUUGUCGCUUCCCCUGCAUCGUUUCUCUCUGCCUCAUUGCCUCCCCGAUCAUGUCCACCUCUACGCCUCGCCUUGUGCCUGAUGUAUUGCUCGCGGUCCGACAGUGCUCGGUGUCGUCCUUUGGCAACAAGUGCAGCCCCACACCCCUUUCCUGAUGUGGCGGUUUCGACCGACGGCGUGAGUUCCUCAUCUCUAAUUUCCGAACAGAUGGAUAUGGGAUUGCCAGGACUCAGGCAAGGGUGAAAUCUUUGUUUGGCUUGCCGAUGCUGUCAGCGGCGACAUUCGAGGGUACCGUUUUCUUCUUGAAGGCGCUGCCAUGGCCUUCAUCCAAGCCGAGCACAUGAGAAACAAUUGGUCAAGUUGAAGGUGCCAUCUUGUUCGCUCGUUGUAUCCCUGCGGUUAGCUUUGGUGAUGUUGGUUGUCGUGGCCGUUUCGGCCUUCCCCUCUGCUUGGAGGCUUGUUGGUUUAGCUGUGUCGUACCCUCCUUUCGGGUCGAGCAUCCCCUUUUCUCUCUGCUCAUUGCACCAUGUACAUGCCAUCUUGUGUUCGUGUAUUGUAUUGGACCCUCAACGAAAUAAUACGUAAGCUUUACGCAUCCACGAAAUAUAAGUGGCCACCGAUGUUGGAUCUGUGUCUAGCCAACUCUCCAUGUAUUGGAUCUACACAAAGACCAGUGAAAGAUCUAGAGGGUGGACAGGGUGGGCAGCCCAUCUUAAUUUUUUCCAAUAGCCUUUACAUUAUUGGUUUUGCUAGAACUCAUCUAGUUGAAUUUUUAUUAUGUCUCAUUCAUCCUUUAUAACCAUUGAAUGUGAUUAUAAGAUGCGUUUGUGCUGACGUGGGUUGUAGUACUAUUUUAUAUUUGUUUUUUUCUAGGUGAAUGCGACUAAAUUAUAUUCAUUUAGAUGAGAUCGAAACACUUCCUUACAUUAUAUAGUUUUAAAAGGAAAACCUAGUAGAUUUAUACGAGCAAUUACACCGUUGGCCAUCCUGGUCCAUUGGGCUGGAUUCCCCACUAACAAAUACCAAGCAUGAUGCAAUUUUUUCUCAAGAAAAGUAUGAUGCAAACACGUGAAUACGAAUAUAACACAGUGAAGAAUACAACUUUUGUGAAAGUGGCAUCGUUAUUCAUUCAUGCAUAGCUUUUCUGCUUUAGCACUUGGCAAAGGGCCACCGUCCCCACCACAAAUUUGAGCAAUUCACCUGGCAUCCGAACCAUGCAGCUAGGCGCUAGCUAGUGGUCGACAUGGAUCGCCGACGUCUCCCGGCACCACCGGUUCCGUGAAUCCUGCGCGUAGCACAGGACAAACGGGUGGAUGGCAUAUGCAUGGUCGACAUAGGGCGCCGACGUCUGUGACAUCGCUCUCGAUCGUCUCCCGGCACCACUCGUUCCCGUUGGCCGUUAUCGAUCGAGACACAUGGUGAGACAGGAACGGGCCACUUGGACGUGGCGUCGCAUACACUUCGCCGACGUGACUGCAGGCAGCUCGUUCUGUCCGAGGGGGUCCAAUUCCAAAUGGCCCAUGUUCAAAGGAAAACGUUUAACGGCUACACGCUGGCCGAAGAUCUUCGGCCAGCGCCUGCCUCAUGUCGCACUGGAUCCACACACGCAUCACAUCCACGCACAGCGAGUUACAUCUGGCCUUACAUAGGCCCGUGCAACCUUAUUCACCCUCUAGUGGCUUAGGCCCUGUUUGUUUCAGAAGUUUCGGGACAUUUUUUUUAGUCUUAACUUAAAAGUCCCUAGUCCCUAUCCGUUUAUUUUCAGGGAUUAAAUAGAGACUAGAGGUCAUUGAAUGACAUGUAAAAAGACCAUGUUACCCUUAGUAAUGUAGUAGUAGUUAUUAAAUGACAUGUUAAAAGUAGGGGCAUUGUUGGAAAAAGUGCCAAAAAGUCCCAAAAAGACCCUUCCAUAGGGACUUCUCCAAAUAGUCUCAAAUACCCCCUUUUAGUCCCUAAAAGUCCCUCCUGUUUGUUUCACACGAGACUUUUUGAGACUUUUUUUAGUCCCUACACCAAAAAGUCCGUGGAAACAAACACCCCCUUAGUCCCCAUCUCUCUCCUCCCGUCCACGCAUACUCUGAUGUUUUCAUGCUGCCCCACGGUCCCUCCUUUUAGAGUUACUUGCAAAAUACUACCACAAUUCGGGCCGUAUUUACAAGUUGGUGUCAUUUUGCAAUUUUUUUGCAAAUACGUAUCAAGAUACACACAGCUUCUUGCAAAACUUGCAUUUCUACGUAUAGAUGCUCUUUCUGACAGAUAUGGUCCACCGGUCAGUCUCUUACAAGAAAAAUCGGCCCGGACCGCUUCGAUCAGGGGAAAACCGACUCUUUCUCUCCAUCCAGACCGGACAGGCAAAAAAAAACCUUCGUCUCCUCCAGACCAUCUCCCCUGCUCCUCCACCCCGCCUCCCCCUCACCGCCACCACCGCCACACCCCGCCGGCCACUCCCUCCACCCCACCGCAACCACCAGCACCGCCCCUCCCUCCUGCGCCCCCGCCUCCUCACCGUCCGCGGCGUCGCCGGCGCUGCUUGACGGUUCUGGUCGCAUGUCGGACCGUCCGAUCCGCGUGCUGCGUGUGCCGGCGUCCCGCGCCACUGUGUGGCGCAGGCUCUCCUCGCCCGCGGUCACCAUGUCCCUGCGCACGUGCUCCAGGAGGCGCAGCGUGAACCGCUCCAAGUCGCCGUCGAACCGCGCGGAGAGGGAGUGGCCCGUCGAGUGCGCGUGUGAGAACGGCCGCCCCGACCGCGACCGCGAUCGCACCGCGCGCCGCAUGCUGUCGAUCCACUCCAGCUCCGCUGCUUCCCUCAUUCUCUCCUCCUGCUCCUCGCCGUCGCCCUCGCGGUUCAUGUCGAUGGACACCUCCGGCGCCCGCUGCUCCUCCCCGCCGGCGCCGUCCGCUUCGGCCGCCGCCGUGGCUGCUGGCUCCUCCGGGGCGAGGCUGCAGCGGCAGACGGGGCAGGUGACGUGGCCGACGAGCCACUCCCCGAUGUAGUCCGGGUGGAACGCGUGGCUGCACUUGGGGAGGAGGCGGAGCUGGUCCCCGUCCUCGAACUCGCUGAGGCAGACGACGCACUCGAGCACGGCCGUGCUGUCCUCGCCCUUGCCUCCCGCUUCCUUCUCAUGGAGCUCCCUCGCCUCGGCGUAGGUCAUGGCGGGGAAGGAGGCGACCACCUCCGGGUCGAGCCCACGCGGCCGGGCCUACUGUUGUUGCUCCUACCGCGACAGCACGAGGAAGGCCGCGGCCGGGAUGGUGGGGGAGUUCCCGCGGCCGCACUGGCAGAUGUAGAUGGAGAAGAAGCCGAUGAAGAAGAAGGUGGCGAUGAGCACCACGAGGAGCACCACCAUGGGCGCGCUGAAGCUGGGCGGCUUCCUCGCGCCGUACACGACCCCUCUCCCGCUGUCGCUCGUCCUGUCCCACUCGUCGUCGUCCGCCCGAGCGACUGCGCCGGUCGCGAGGAGGAGCUCCGCGAGCAGCACCGCAUGGCAUAUCUAUCGGCGGCGUCGGUAUCGACAUCGACGCGUUUCUCGGUGCCGCGGUAUAAAAACGAACGAGUGAAGGAAGGAAGGAAGGAAGGAAGCAGGCAGUGGAGCGACGCGUGCGUGGCUGGAUUACUUUGCGACCGGAACCGUCAAGCAGCGCCGGCGACGCCGCAGACGGUGAGGAGGCGGGGGGCGGGGGCGGAGGAGGGAGGGGGCGGUGCUGGUGGUUGCGGUGGGGUGGAGGGAGUGGCCGGCGGGGUGUGGCGGUGGUGGCAGUGAGGGGGAGGCAGGGUGAAGUAGCACGGGGGAUGGUGGUCUGGAGGAGACGAAGGUUUUUUUUGCCUGUCCGGCCUGGAUGGAGAGAAAGAGUCGGUUUUCCCUGGAUCGAAGCGGUCAGGGCCGGUUUUCUUGUAAGAAACUGACCGGUGGGCCAUAUCUGCCACAAAGAGCAUCUAUACGUAGAAAUACAAGUUUUGCAACAAGCUACGUGUAUCUUGGUACGUGUUUGCAAAAAAAUUGAAAGAUGAUAUCAACUUAUGAAUACGGUUCGAAUUAUGAUAGUCUUUUGCAAUUAACUCCUGCUUUUGCCGUUGUUUUCCCUCCAUUCAGGACGUCACAGAUGAGUAUGCCGGCAACUACACCUGGCACGAGCGGUGGAACCGGAGAAUGGCUAACCCAAAACCGUAACCUGAUGUACUACUAUCGGUUGGCAGGGACGAAGCCAUCAAUCUGGCAAGAUUUGAUGUCCGCCACACCUAAAAUUUGAUACAAAUAGCAGGGACGAAGCCAUCAAUCUGGCAAGAUUUGAUGUCCGCCACACCUAAAAUUUGAUACAAAUACACUAGCAUGCUCCUGUAGUACGUCUUUGAUUUUAGCUGAUCCAUGCGUCCAGCCGGCCAUCUCAACAUGUGGCUUUGAAUACACAGUAUAUAUGCCAGAAAUUGCUUUUCGAGCUCCGCCUUUAUGGAGACCACCAAAUUCAAAAUUAAACAUUUAUAAAAAUUUAUAUUUUUACGGCUGAAAAAAUUCUGAAAAAAAUUAUAGAUAUAUAUCAAGGCAUAAUGCACAAGUGUGUAAAUUUGCAGGUCAAAAUAUGUUGAAAUGAGGGUUGUGGAACAAAAAACAAAUCUGAGUGUUUUUAACGCAUGAUACUAUUCAUCAUUUUAGGUCUUGAAUUUGUUUUUUUGUACAGUUGGCAAUUCAAAGUAUUUCAUCGUGAAUUUUGACACAUCGUGUAUAUUACAUCCUUACAUACAUGCAUAUUUUUUCAGAAUUUUUUGAAACAAAAGAAUGAUUCUUUUCUUUCAAAAUUCAGUCUCCAUGGAGCUGGAGAUCCAAAAGGCCUUAAAGCAUCUCUGGCAGAUCCCACAUUUUCGCGGAAACUGUAUAAAUAACUGCCGUUUUGCCGUUUCGGACCGAAAAGGCUCGCGGAGCAGAUCCCACAAAAGUGAUCGGCCUACCAAAAAUUUUGAGGGGCGCGACAGUUUUCGUCGGCGAAACUGUGAAAACAAGGUUUUGCGACGAGACCCGGGGGUGCCCUGCAUUGCGCGGAAAUACUUGGCGGGAGGGACAUUUCAGCGCGCGGGUUGCUUCCCUCCCCUUUUCCCUUCCAGCCGCCACGACCGCCCUCGCCGUCGACGCCCUAGAUUCCGGCCGCCGAACACCUUCUGCCCACCUCCGCCGCCGCCGCACGUCAUCGCAGGCCCUGCGCGUCCGGGCUCCGACGGCGGCGCGGGGUCUUUGUCUCCGCCGCCCAAGAUCGAGGCCACCCCGACGAAAGGGCAUCCGCCACCGCGGCGCCGCCUGUCGGGACCGACCCCACCGCUUCGGCCUCUUGAUCUCAGGUGGGAUUUGCCUCCUUCUCCCCCUCCACCCCAACUGCUCCAUCGUGCACUCUCAUUUUCUUCUUUCGGGAGAUGGAAUUGAGCUCCGAUGAGGAAUUUGUGCUCGUCGAUUCUUCCUCCUCCGACGACUCGGAUGUGGAGAAUCUCCUGGCGAACCAUCGGCAGCAGAUGUUGGUGGUCAUGAUGGCCAUCAAGGAGUACGAGGAUCGACGGAGGAGUCAGCGGCGUGGAUCGAAGGUAGGCCUCCUAUGCAUCCCGCGCUAUCGCCACCUCGGCAACAAACUGCUGAUGCGAGACUACUUCGCCCAGCGGCCAACCUAUCCCGCCAACCUCUUCCGGCGAAGGUAACGAAUGCGUCGAUCCCUCUUUGUCAAAACAGUAGAGGCUUGCGAGUCAAAUUCUCGCUAUUUUACUCGCUGGAGGAACGCCGCUGGAUUAUUGGGAUUUAGUGCAUACCAAAAGAUAUCCGUAGCCAUGAGGGUCAUUGCAUACGAAAUCGCUGCGGACUUCGCCGAUGAGUAUCUUCGUAUUUGUGCACAUACUACAAUAGAGUCCGUGCGUAGGUUCGCGAAGGUUAUGAUCCAUGUGUUUGGUCCAACUUAUCUUCGAGCACCAAACGAAGAUGAUACAAAGAGGUUGAUGACGAUGAAUGAAAGGAGAGGCUGGCCGGGUAUGCUAGGUAGCAUAGAUUGCAUGCAUUGGACUUGGAAAAAUUGCCCGAAGGCUUGACACGGGCAAUAUUGUGGCAAAAGCCGAGAUGCAACAAUUGUGCUUGAGGUCUUAGCGUCCGAGGAUUUGUGGAUAUGGCAUUGCCACUUCGGUUUGCGGGGCACCAACAAUGAUAUCAAUGUGUUGCAACGGUCACACCUAUUUGGAAGGCUUGCUAGUGGUAAUGCUCCUCCUUGCAACUUCACUGUGAAUGGUAAUGCCUACACUCAAGGGUACUACCUUGCCGACGACAUUUAUCCUCCUUGGACUACUUUUAUGAAAACUAUAUCCAAUCCAAGCACUAGGAAACAAGCUGAAUUUGCUAAGCAACAAGAGGCGUGGAGAAAGGAUAUUGAGAGAGCCUUUGGGGUUUUGCAAUCUAGAUUUGCUAUUGUUCGUGGGCCAGCUCGUUUUUGGGAUAAGAAAACCCUCAGCAACAUCAUGCCAUGUUGUGUGAUUCUUCACAACACGAUCAUUGAAGAUGAGAGGGAUUUAAACUUGGAGUUCUUCUACGACAAAGUUGGUAGCUGUGUGAAGCCAUCCAGAAACCCUGACCGUAUUCAGGCUUUCCUGAAGCCCUACCGGCAUAUAGAAGACGCCCAUGGGCACACCCAGCUGCAGCAUUAAUCUCACUAAGCACAUAUGGCAGUUGCAUGGACAGUGGAGAUUUUUACGUUCAUCUAUUUGAUUGUUGUGUAAUCUGAACUAUUCUCUUAUUCCGGACAAUUGUUGUAUUGGAUUAUUUAUUUAAUUCUUUCAUUUGAACCAUUUUUGUAAGUUUGACAAUUGUUGUAAUGUACCGAAGGACAAAGGGANNNNNNNNNNNNNNNNNNNNNNNNNNNNNNNNNNNNNNNNNNNNNNNNNNNNNNNNNNNNNNNNNNNNNNNNNNNNNNNNNNNNNNNUGCGACGUUCCCCAACAGUGGCAUCAUGAGCUAGGUUCAUGCGUAGAUGUCUUCUCGAGUAGAACACAAAAGGUUUUGUGGGCGGUGAUGUGCGUUUUGCUGCCCUCCUUAGUCUUUUCUUGAUUCCGCGGCAUUGUUGGAUUGAAGCGGCUUGGACCGACAUUACUCGUACGCUUACGAGAGACUGGUUUCAUCGUUACGAGUAACUCCGUUGCUCAAAGAUGACUGGCAAGUGUCGGUUUCUCCAACUUUAGUUGAAUCGGAUUUGACCGAGGAGGUCCUUGGAUGAGGUUAAAUAGCAACUCAUAUAUCUCCGUUGUGGUGUUUGCGUAAGUAAGAUGCGAUCCUACUAGAUACCCAUGGUCACCACGUAAAACAUGCAACAACAAAAUUAGAGGACGUCUAACUUGUUUUUGCAGGGUAUGCUUGUGAUGUGAUAUGGCCAAUGAUGUGAUGUGAUAUAUUGGAUGUAUGAGAUGAUCAUCUUGUAAUAGAAAUAUCGACUUGCACGUCGAUGGUACGGCAACCGGCAGGAGCCAUAGGGUUGUCUUUAUACUAACGUGUGUGCUUGCACAUGCGUUUACUAUUUUGCUAGGAUGUAGCUUUAGUAGUAAUAGCAUGAGUAGCACGACAACCCCGAUGGCAACACGUUGAUGGAGAUCAUGGUGUGGCACCGGUGACAAGAAGAUCGUGCCGGUGCUUUGGUGAUGGAGAUCAAGAAGCACGUGAUGAUGGCCAUAUCAUGUCACUUAUGAAUUGCAUGUGAUGUUAAUCCUUUUAUGCACCUUAUUUUGCUUAGAACGACGGUAGCAUUAUGAGGUGAUCUCUCACUAAAAUUUCAAGACGAAAUUGUGUUCUCCCCGACUGUGCACCGUUGCUACAGUUCGUCAUUUCGAGACACCACGUGAUGAUCGGGUGUGAUAGACUCAACGUUCACAUACAACGGGUGCAAAACAGUUGCACACGCGGAACACUCGGGUUAAGCUUGAUGAGCCUAGCAUGUGCAGACAUGGCCUCGGAACACAUGAGACCGAAAGGUCGAUCAUGAAUCAUAUAGAUGAUAUGAUUAGCAUAGGGAUGCUUACCACUGAAACUAUACUCAACUCACGUGAUGAUCGGACUUGAAUAGCAGCCAUUGGCCUCCCCUUCAACAUGGAAGCCACUUGUUCAUUCGUGGCCAAAGAUGUCUGUAGUGAAAGUCGGACGAAGAGAGGGUAUUCUUCCAUGUCAUCAAUUAUUUUGAACAAAUUCUCAUUCGGGUUGGUCACGUGUGUGAAACGCAUGGUAUCUGACAUAUCACGCAGUGACCGCGUCAUGUCUUGAACCACACUCUCAUCACACUUCACCCUCUUACCUUUAUUGCGUUUGUCACCUCGAGGACGCUUUGAACAUGAGCUUUCAUUGUUGGUGUCAUCAGGAAGACAAUCUGAAUCAUAAUGGGUUGCAGGAUCAACCUCAACAUCACUAGCAUUCUUCUCGGUAUCACCAAUAAAAUCCUUGUGACGAGCCUGAACACGGUCAUAUGGUGUUUGAAGGACCAUGAACUCUCCAGUAGCAUGCUUAUCCUGAAAUAUGAACUCCAUCUCAUCAAAGUUGGCAAUUGGCACAUUGAUAUAUUUUGCCCUUUUGUCUUUAUUAUGGAAGAGAGAAGAAGAAUGAAAAUGUUAGUUAUUAGUCACGAAAGAAAAAACAUGAUACUCGAUGAAACUAUAAUUUGACUUAAUUGAUAUGUAGUCCUCACAUUCUUCAUACGAACAACUUCUGUCUCAUCAUAUAAUAUUAUCUUGUUGACAUCAUCAAAAUUGGCACCACUUAAGUUCUUCGCCUCUAGUACAAUCUUCCACUGACCUUUGAGCUUGUGGAACUUGUGAUAAACUUGUCGUUGUGUGAAGGCAGUGGUAAACCUUGCAUUGAUUUGUUUUGCACAUUCCUCAUGAUGUGUCUCUUUGAAAACAAAUUGUUUUCCCUCAGACUGAAUCUUCUCUUUGUAGUAACGUAACAUUUCAUCAACAACUUGGGGCUGCCACACCACAUUGUUUCCUGAUAUAUCCUGUGGUACCAUUUAAAUUUUAUAAUGCAUAGACAUAAUAACAUCACUGAGAUGCAUAUAACAUUGCAUUCGUACCUAGGGAAAGAUAUAACUUUGCAAAAAAUCAUGGUUACUAGUUAAAGGCAAAAAACACACACGUUGUUCUCGGUAGUGCUAAUACAACUUAGAAUAAAAAAAACUCAUACAUGUAGCUUGAAAAAAAUCAACCACGUCUAACAUUAUGCCUAUUUCUCCACAUAUUGGCUGCCAUGGUAUCCCUAUCUCGAAGCACUUCCCUUUGUUCCUCACGUAAAUCUCGUUGGACACGGCCAGCUGAUCUUGGAUAUUGUUCAAACCAGUUUUGCUCACUGUAGACUAGUUCAUCAGGACCCCCGUUUAGUAAUAUCCAGUUGUGAAGGAUACAACAUGCUAUGACAACUCGCACUUGUGAAGGAAAGGGAUAAUAUGGCCUUGUUGUUAGAACUUUGAAACGGUUCUUCAAAGUUCCGAAUGCCCUCUCAACAGUAGUACGAAGGGAUGAGUGUCUUAAAUUGAAUAGCUCAUUUUGUGUCCGAGGUCUAUUAUUACCCCUCCAUUCACGCAAAUGAUAUUGAGUUUGACGGAACGGCGGUAGGAAUCCUUUCCUAGCUGCAUAUCCCGCAUCCGCAAGAUAGUACUUACCUAACAUGACAUUAUCGACAAUUAAUCAAUCAUGCGCUCUGUAUGUUAUAUCAUAAUAUGUAAAAAUUGCAGGGGCCUACCUUCAGGGACUCUAAGGCCAUUUGGAUGCUCAAGAGAAUGUCUUAAAACGGUUGAAUCGUGUGCCGAACCCUCCCAGCCCGCACAAACAUAAGUGAACAACAAAUCAAAGUCGACCGCGGCAAGAACAUUUUGUGUAGGGAAUGGUUUCCUGCCGCGAAAUCUGUCAACUAUCCGAGAUGGAACGUUGCAUGGAACAUGUGUACCAUCAAUAGCACCAAUACAAUCCUAAAUAUCGAAUUAAAAAUUAAUUAGUAAUACACCUACUGCACUAUGAAGUUAUUUUAAAAUUUAUGGAUACCAAGAUGCACACUGUACUAUACCUUAAAAUAGGGAUCAAAUCGUAGGUUGCCUUGAAUUUUUGACGGUGUAUCGAGUGUGCGAUGCCUAAGCAUUUCUGGGCCAAGUUUCCCAAUUGCAAAUAAAACUUUGUUGAAGUAACGACUCACUGUUUCACCUGACCUUUUAAAAUGGAAACUAAUAGCGACAUUUUUCUUAUGAUGCCCUACAGUAGUGAGGAACAUGGCUACUUGUUCCUCAACAGUACAAUGCCAUGUAUCUUUAAGUUGUCUCAUACUCCGUAAUUUAUGACACAGUUUGAAGAAAACUGAUUUUCCCAUACGUAAUUCCGCAAUGCAGUGUUUCUCCUCGCCGCAGUAAAGUUUGCGUAGAUAUGCCAUUCUUUCUUUAUUUCUCUCUAACAAUGAGUAUCUUAUAGGAUGACUAGAGUUGCUUAGAUAUACGAUCAAUGCAUAAUAUGUCACCACAAAUGCACUGAAGAACGCUAUUUUUCUGUUAAUUUGCGCAUUGCCGUCCAUCUAUAAAUCAGUGAAAGAAAAAUAAAUAUUAAUGUCUUACACAACACGGCGCCAUCAGUAUAUACACAGUCAUAAGCAGACCUAAAUCCUAACAAAUCAAUUCAGAUCCAUGUAAAAUAGAUAGCUCCAUAUCCAUGUUUGAGUACGGACCAAAUCAAGAAAUCUGAUGCAGAUGUAUGUUCAUACAAGUCAACCACUAUCAUGCACUUCUAGUACGGUAGCACUUAAUUUCAGAUUGACUAGAAAUAAAAACUGGGUGUUAGGUGCGCACCAACAGCAGGAUUAUGCCCCAGCCCCAACACCACAACCUGCCAUUAGAGUGAGCUUGCUGUCACAUGGCCGCACUAAUCAUAUCCUAAAGACAGGUCAUCCAAGAAAAAUCCAACCAUGAAGACCAUGGGAAAUAUACAGAACUAAUUGGGAUCUGGAGCCUCUCGUACUAAUCAACCCUUGAGCCAGCCACUCUAGUCACAGGAGAAAGAUUCAUACACACAGGCAGGAAGAUUCAAGAGAUGUGGAGGGGGAUGCAUACCUGAUCAAGGAGGAUGAGGCGUCCGCUUUUAGAUCUGGAGCUCGUCUUCACCAAAUCAUGGAGGGGAACAGCCAACUCGCUCUAUUUAUCCGGUGGGAAAUACCAAGAUUUCAGGAUUUCGUUGGGGAUGAGGAGAAAACGGGGAGAGUGGAGGAGGUCCGAGUGGAGAGGAUAUAGGGAUUUGUUGCAGACGAGUUCAUCCAUCCGGAGCGUUCGGCGUCGGUUUGUUUCGCGCGUCCGAGUUUGCCGUCGAGGGCGAGUCAAAUCGGCUCUCCCUGUUGAGCGAGGAUUUUCUGACCCGUCAAGAUUAUCUGCCCCAAAAGCAAGGUAUUAUUUGGGCUACCAAACGGAUAGCCUAGCCUAGCAAGGCAAAAACGACUUUUGCCAAGUAACCAAACACACCCUAAGUGGCACCGUAGUGCGUACUGCGUAGUCGAUCAAUCUCGCGCGCAAACACACAAGGCCUAAGCCGCUGGUUGCUUGGCAGCGCAUCGGUCACCACGUCGGAUCGACGCUCGCACUGCUCGAAAAGGAAGCAGGUUGCACGGCGAGAACGCCGGCGGCGCACGCGACGUGUCCACAUCAGGUGCUGCAGAGCACGUAGUUGGUUAAAAAGUCCUAACACUUUUUUUUUAGUUUUAACUAGUAAAAAGUUCCUAGCAUCUGUUUAAUUUCACAGAGUAAAUAUGAAUCAACUGUUAUUAAAUUACAUGCAAAAAGGCCCUGUUACCCUAGUACUCUCUCCGUGUACGUAUACCUAGGUUGUCAAUUUAACUUAUAUAAAAUAUAUUAUUUAAUAUAAAAAUUAUAUCAUUAUUUUCUCCGUUCCUAAAUAUAAGUCUUCCUAAAGGUUUCACUAAUGGAUUACGAUGUAUGUAGAUAUACUUUAGAGUAUAGAUUCACUCAUUUUGCUCCGUAUGUAGACACCUAGUGAAAUAUAUUAAAAGACUUAUAUUUAGGUACGGAGGGAGUAAAAAAUAAAACAUCUAAAGUUUCUUAUGAUAUAUUUUUAUAAUAUAUGCCUCUCAUUAAAUUGGUCAAAUUGACGACCUAGAUACACGUACCGGACUUAUAAACUGAAACGAAAAAGUAAUAAACUAAAUAUUAUUAAAUAAUAUGUUAAAAGCUAAAAAAGUCUAAAAAGACUCUUUUUAGGUUUUAUUUUUUUAGUCCCAAAUGCCCACUCGUAAUCCCUAAUAUCCUUAUAUUUUGUUUAAAUAAAACUAAUAUUUUUAAUCCUUACACCAAAAAUUGCAUUUAAACAAACACCCUCGCAGUCCCGAGACCCAGGUCUGUCAGACUGUCACGGUCGAGCCAUGCGCCGGCAAAGGGCAAAAUGGACAAAUUUAACCUCUUUGCUGAAUGAAUUCACAGACUGAACCUAGUUCAAAACAAAUUCACCGAGUUGAUCCUUUUGUGUGACGUCCGACGUGUAGGCGCCACACUACAGUGUGUGACGCCUGAGCCUUGGACGUUGCUCAUGCUGUAGUGUGACGCCGAGCACUUAGGCGUCACACAUGCACUUAUGCAUUAUGCAGCCCGCGGCCGAAUCCAGACGGCCGGUCGGCCGGCGGUCAGUCGAAGCGGCGGCCGUGCCAUGCGGAGCUGAGCAGGACGCGGCCGAAGCUGGCGCCCUCCAUGCGCGUCGCCCUGCUCGCCCUCGCCACCUCGCCUACGGCCGCGCCCAUGCCUGCCUCGCCGUUCUCCGCCUCCUCCAUGCCCGCCAUGCACGCUACGGGAAGGAUCGACGGGUGCAGCAGCUCGCGGCGUCUGCUCGCAAGGACGCGCGAGCACCUGCCAUGGCCAUGCCGCACAUGCGCGCGCCGGAAGCGCCAGGCCGGGGGCCCGACUAUUUGGAUGGCAUCCCUGACGACCUCGUGCUGUCAAUCUUCUCCAAGCUUGCCGCGUCCGCGACCUCCCCGUCCGACCUACUCUCCGUCUACCUAACGUACGCCCCCGCGCGCCUCCGCGUUUGGUUCAACUGCUUGAACUCAUGCCGCUUUGUAUGAGUAUGUAUGGAUGGUUGGUUGGCUGAAUUUGUUUGUGUGUGCCUUUAACGUUUUAGGUGCAAGCGGCUCAACGGCCUUGGGCAGCAGGAUAUGGUGUUCGCCAAGGCCUCGCCGGCGUCGCUCGCGGCCUGGUCGGAGCCCGUGCAGCGGUUUCUGAAGCGCUGCGCCGACGCCGGCAACCUCGAGGCCUGCUACAUUCUCAGCAUGGUAAGAGUCGAUGACCAAAUCCAGUUGACUUGAUCGUUUAGCUUGACAUCCGUGCAUGCAUACAUGGUCGGAGUUUCAGGGAUGGAGUGCUGAUGAGCGCCAUGCGUUUUUGCAGAUCCGUUUCUAUUGCCUUGGCAGCCGGAGCGGCGGCGCGGCCCUGCUCGCGAAGGCGGCAGUCGGCGGGCACCCGGCCGCGCUCUACUCGCUUGCUGUAAUCCAGUUCAACGGGAGCGGGGGUGCCAAGUCUGACCGCGACCUGCGCGUCGGGGCUUCCCUGUGGCUGCUGGCGUCGGGCUUUGGGAGGUGGAAUGCAUGUGUGGCGUCUAAGUGCUCGGCGUCACACUGCAGCAUGUGUACGUCCGAGGCUUAGGCGUCACACAGCCAGGAUGGGCCCUGCAGCACCAGCGUGGCCUUUUUGUACAACGCCUAAGGCUUAGGCGUCACACAGUGUAGUAUGGCGCCUACGCGUCGGACGCCACACAAAAGGGUUAGCUCGGUGAAUUUUUUUUGAACUAGGUUCAGUCUGUGAAUUUAUUUAGCAUAGAGGUUAAAUUUGUCAAUUUUGCACCGGCAAAGGAACCUCUCUUUCAUUAAACCUCGAUCCUCACGCCGGAGUGUGGACCGCCCCCGUAGCUGCCCGUCCCUAAAAACAAACUAGCUCUGGCUGCGCACACGUGACCGCACUAUUUUUCUUUAGGAAAGGUUGCUGACUUUUAUUAAUGGAAAAAAUCUCACUUCAUCUUAAAAUAAAUGUCGUGAUUUUAGUUUUAAUAAGUUCAAAUUUAAAGUAAGUCGCGACACAUAUUUUUGGUCAGAGAGAGUAUAAAACAAAACUUAUAGAUAAAUACUAAAUCAAAUCUUAAACUUUAAAUCUUGAAAAUUGAUACUUUAAACUUAUCAAUCCCGGUCUAUUUCAAACCUUAAGAGUAUUUAGCUUGUAUUCGUGGAGACGGGCCAGCCCAUUGGUGCAGUCGCUUGCGCCGCUCAUGCAUAGCUGUAGGUUCGCCUGCUUUAGUCUGUUUUUUUUUCUUUUUCCCUUCUCCCUUUAGCCUUUCUUUGAUUUUUCAUCAGUUUUCUUUGGUUUUUUCUCCUUAGUUAUACUUUAUGUUUUCACUGAUCUCUUUGAAUUUUUUCUCUGUUAUAUUUUUGGUUUUCUUUUGUUUUUUAUUUAUUUUUAAUAUAUUUUCUUUCUUUUUUCUUUGCCGGUUUUAAUUGAUUUUAUUUUUAAAACAUGUCUACUUUUUCUUAGUAUACAAUGUAUAUUUUUAGCACACAUAUGUAAUAUUUUUUUUCAAGAAAUUCCAAAACUUUACUUUAAAAAUGGGACACAUUUUUCAAAAAUCUAAAACAUUUUGCAUAGUAUAGGAAAAAAUGUUGGAAUUCUCAUGAUUUUUGACAAAUGUGAUUUUUUUAAAAAUCAUGAACAGUUAUAUACAUUGCAAAAAUAAUAAAAAUUUCAAAAGAUAUUUUUGAAAAUGCAAAGGAAUUGAAUUUGUGUCAAAAAUAGAUAACAUGAAGAUUUUUUAACUUUAGACCACGAAUAGAAAACAUGCGGAAAAUUCUCAACCUCACGAAUUCUUCUUCUGGUAUAGUGGGCUGACCUAAUUUCUCGUCUGUGAGAGUAGCGGGUUAAAAUAAUGUCUCGAGAUCUCAUUUUUUUAUGAGUUAAAAGAAUGCCAUUACAAAAACACAAGUUGAAAAUAUACCACUACAACAUCCUUGUAUGUGUAUCUAUGCCAUUUUCUCCAAUACCGGGUCAUAUACUCCCCUUAUACGUUUGCACGUACAUAUAUACGAACAUGUGACACACCACACGAAGUAGCACACACAAAAUCGCAACCAUUCUCCAUCCUGAGUCACACACACAAACCCUAGCGUGGGGGGAAUGUCGGUUGGAGGCGCGGUCGACAACGUCGUGAUAGGGCCCAAGGCGGCGGGAGGGGGGCACCACGGUUACUGGUUCGUGCCGCUACGGCUGGAGGAGGGGAUGACAUGACUAGAAUUGUGCGGCGCGGUGGGGGAAGGGGNGGGGGCAGGGGAGGCGGGCGAGAGUCGUUGAGUCCCAACUCCCCGUACGAGAGAGUUCCUCACGCCCAAACCUCAAGCCCCGAACCUUCUCCUGAAAACUUGUCGAAUAUUGACUGGAAUUUUCCAUGGAUGUUAACUCUCAAGACGACAACCAUCGCUAAUGGGAUACAUGGGCUCACAGAAAAGUUCAAUGAGAAAACUACCGUCAAGAAAAUCCUUCAAGUUGUUCGGUCAAAGUCUCCCAAAUUGCACCUGCUAUAGAGCAGUUUGGCAAUUUCAAAAUGAUGACAAUGAAGGAAGUCAUGAGGAGGUUGAAGGUUCAUGAGGCACGACUGCGUGGCUAUGUCCAUGACGACCAAGAUGACAAACAAUUUUUGUUGACAUAUCAAAGCCAAGAGAUCUUGAGUUCAAGAUCCGGGUGGCACAAUUAAAUCAUAGCUCACUUUUGGUCCAUAUUAGACGAGAUGGGGAGUGCUGGCGUAUAAAUGCAUAACACACCAUUUCCAUUAGCUUGAGUUUCUGGGUGAACUGACUAGUGUGCAGUUGUAUAGUGACACACCAUCCGUGUAGCACACACCAUGUCGCAACCGUUCUCCAUCUCGUCUCUCAUACUCGAACCCUAGCAUGAGGGCGACGACAACUCGAGGCGUAGGCGAAGGCGGCGCCCAAGGCGGGGCCAUGGCUGCUAAAAUUCCAUGGAGUCAUUGAGUUGCUCACGUGUGAACCUCAUGCCCCCAACCCUUUUACUCAAAAUUUGGUGAAUGUUGACUAAAGUUUUCCAUCGAUGUUAACUAGAAUAGCCUUUAACCCGUGUUGUUUUUUCAUGAAAUUUGUAGGCUCGAGCCAACGAAUGUUUUUAGCUUAGACCUAGUUCCUCAAGGGUUUCUACCAAAGGAACUGAAUGGUAGGAAAUCAUAUGUGAAGGUGAAAACAAUUAGAUGGAACAUAGACUCAAAGGACUUCAUAAUGGACUAGAAGGGUUGGACACGCUUUGAUGCAUUGUUGAAGUUGUUGUAUUUUUAAAAAUUACCCACUUUGUUUUCAAAUAUAACAUGUAUUACUUUUUGAAAAUCCAGACAUUUUAAGUUUGAUCAAACAUGAUAUCAAAUAUCAAAUCUAUAUGAUUAGAUUCAUCAUGAAAUGAAUUUACAUACUUCUUGUCUAAUAUUGUGGAUGUCAAUAUAUAUUUCUCUCACUUUGGUCAAAAUUAAAAUUUGACUUCAAAAAAAUAAUACCACUUAUAAUUUGGAACUGAUGGAAUAUUUAGUUUAAUGGAUUGGGGAUAUGAUGCAAUGUGUUUUAUUUUUAUUUAUUAAAUCAGGUGAUUUGAUGGAAUUUACUUGGUGUGGUUUUGUGUUAUCCGCUAACCAACAUAUAUUUAUAUGGGAAAGUUUAUGCAUCGAUGGUUGGAUGUACUAUAUUGAUGCUACAAUAUUACAUGGUGGCGCUUCAUUUUUCUAGGUGAUGGGAGGAUGCGCGGGAUUGAUGUAUUUUUAUAGACUGGUUGUUGCCAAUUGAUUUGGAGAAUCGUUGCACCAAUCAAAAUCGUAAACCAAACUCAAUUAAAUAUCUCAAUUGAACGAAAUAACUUCAAAACUGGAGAACAUAAUGAAUUAAAAGAAUAGAAUGGGAGAGCUCCUUGAGAAAAUGUUGACUUGGUCAAAAUCGGAUGACGUGGUUCUAAAUUAAAUACCUCAAUUAAUUAUGAGACCUUAAAAUUUAGGAAGCAUAAUGUAUAUUAAAAAAGAAUUUAAUGAUAAAGCUUCAAGUUGAUGACCCAGACGAAAUCGGGUGAUUCAAUUUCAAUUGAAGACCUUAAUUAAAUGUAGGUUCUUAAAAACAAGGAAGUAUAGUGUUAAAGGAUGUACUCAUGGAUAUGCUCUUGGUGCCUGGCUAUUUAUACAAACCCCGAAGAGAGCACUUCCAAGUAUGUGAGAAGUGAAAUGGAUUCUAACUAGAAUACAAAGUUGCUAAGGGCAUCUCCAAGGCUGACCCCAAAACGGACUGGUAUCCUGCUGCGGGUGCGUAACUGAUACAGAAGACGACCAUCCAACCAUGUCAACAUAUAUUUUAAACCAAAUUUAAUAACCGAAAGAAGUACAUGCAAAGGGAUGAUUUUCGUCUAAACCUGAUGAAUUUUUGACAUAUUUCAACUCAACUAUAACGGAUUACGCUAUCCUAAGCUUGUCUAAAUGAUCGCUGGUUGUGGUGGCGCGUGUUUCCCACAAAAGGUCUUCCACAUGUGUGGCAGCAAGCUCAUCCGACGAGGCGAGGCCUGGUGAUAGGACAUGUAUGUUGCCUAGAAUGGGGGGGGGGGUGAAUAGACACUUUAAAAUAAUUUCGGUUUAGGUUCAAACAAAAGCGGAAUAAAACUAGCGUUCAAUUUCUCAAGUAGAAAACCUAAAUCAACUAUGCUUACCUAUGUGCACCAACAACUUAUACUAACCAAGAUAAAAAAACUAAGUGAUAGCAAGAUAUAUAACAUGAAACAUUAUGGUGGCUAUCACAAAGCAAGUGCAUAAGUAAAGGGCGGGUAAGAGAUAACCAAGGAACACGGAGAGGGCGAUGUAUUUGGAAGUUCACACCUUUGUGGAUGCUAAUCUCCGCUUGGAGCGGUGUGGAGACACAAUGCUCCCCAAAUUGCCACUAGGGCCACUGUAAUCUCCUCAUGUCCUCGCAGAAUGCAAGAUGUUGUGAUUCCACUAAGGGACCCUUGAGGACACUCACCAAAGCCGUACAAAUGGCGACCCUUUGGGGCAGUCAGCGAAAUCGUACAAUUGGAAACCCUUGGGGGCGGUCACCGAAACCCCGUAUAGAUUGCCCGUGGCAAUCUUCACAACUAAAUUGGAGACCCACCAAUGUAGAAAAUCCUAUCCAUGGUGUGGCAAAAAUGACCUUGCUGGCGUGGACACCCGACGCCACCAAUAUGGCCCUAGUAUUAGAAAAUAAUGGUGGCGUUGGAACCGACGCCAAAAGUAUAUUACAUGUUGCUGACGUCCACGUGGCCAAUGCCAGCUAUACAUAUAUAAUACCUUUGUCAUUUGUUGUUGUCCAACGCCAGCAAUUUCUUUUGGAUAAUAAAAAACACUACUUGAGAAACUAAGAGUUUAAACUUCACAAAAUGUACUAAUCAACUAAGUAUACUCAUAAACUUAAUAAGAGUUUAAAACUUAGUACUGAUCAAUAAAACAUACUCAUAAACUUCAGAGUUUAAAACUUCACAAAAGGUACUGAAAUAAUUAAACUACUCUUCAUCAAGGAUUAUCCUGAGCUGGCGAAUCUUCUUUCGAUUGCUCUCUCUAUAAUUUUGGAAGUGAGUGACUUCUAUGUUUAGCUUAGUCCUACCAGUCCUCAGUAGUUUUCUCUCCUCCAUGAAGUCAUCCCUCUCCUCCAUCAAGUCAUCCCUCUCCUCCCUUAGUUUGUUUGACAUGUCGAGAGCAUGAACACCCUUUUGUGAGCGGACUAUCCCGUUCAUUCUUCACACAGAUAUUUUGUUCUUCCAGUUUUUUAUUUUCUAGUGUGAUUCCUCUAGGAGACACUUAUUCCACUUGUUCACAUCGUACACCGAUUCGUUGUUGCUUGAAGAGUUGUCCACAUGUCCUGUUUCAAAUUAUGUACACAAGAAAAUUAAAACUUGUAGUAGCAAUAUAAAUCAACUACUACCUAAACAUUGCAAGAUUGAGACAUAUGUUUCAAAUCCAUCUAAUAUAAAGCAAUCAAAACAUAAAUACUACACAAAACAUAAACAUUGAGAACAUAGGUUCUCAAAUUCAUCUAAUAUAAAGCACUCAAAACAUAUCUAGUACUUGUAUGGAAUUAUCUAGUACUAAGAUCCCGACAAAACAUAAUCACUGAAAACAUAUGUUCCCAAAUCCAUCUAAUAUAAAUUUGUACUAAUAGCAUUCUACACUAAUCGGAUUCUAUACUAAUAAAUUAAUUUCUACUAGUCACAUUCUACACCAAUCAGAUUCUAUACUAAUCAGACUCUACACUAAUAUAUACCUACACUAAUAGGAUUCUACACAAAACAUAUAUGUACACAUUUUUAGGGUUGGGAUCCGCCACGAGAUUGAAGGAGAAGCUCGGGGAGGGGAAGAAGAUGCGGAGGGGAGUGGUAGAUCUCACCUGCUGCCCCGGAGGUAUCGAUGGCCGCAAUGGUCUGGCGGCGGCGACACACGAUGGGGUCAGGAGGUGGCGAUGACGGUAGCGGGCGAGAGAAAGGGGGAUGAGGAGAGAGGAAGGAGAAUAAGGUGAGUGAGUGAAAUUUGACCAAAUUUUUUUUUGACUGGGUACGGGAGGGCUGUUAAAAUGGACUAGUGCUCGCAUGGGCUAAUGGGCCAUGGCAACACAAUCUGUAUCGGAAAAAGAAAAAAAAUAUGCAAUUACCUAUGUGGUGAGAUAUAACCACAGCCAAUGCUAUUUGAAAAAUAUAGUGUUGGCGUCACUUAGAAACGGUGCGGCACAACCAUAAGUUGUGGCUAGCCAUUUCUCCACUAGUGACCCCAACGCUUGCCCAGAGAUUUACACCAUAAUGAUUGAGCUCCAAGACACCACCAACCUUCUAGUGCACUAAAGCACCCAAGAGGCAAAAGCUCCCGGGUUCCCAUAUACCGAAGAGUAAUAAGCUUCUCCACUUUUUAGUUGCACAUAUCACCAUGAAGAACUCAGACCUAUGCAACUAAUGCAAUGGCACUAACAGACGAAGUGGUAAAUUCCAUCACUACCGAAUCAGACCACAAAAACAAAAGCUAUGGAGGAAUAUGAGAGGAAGAACAAGGAGAACACAAAGAACUACAAGACCUAGAUCCAAGGGGUUCGCCUCAUAUAGAGGAGAAAGUGAUUGAUGGAAAUGUGGGCCUAGAUGUCCUCUAUAUUUUCCCUUAAGAAGGAGCAAUAAUCAUUGGAGGGUUGAGAGAUAGCAAGCUCAAAGAAGGUCAACAAUGGGGGAAAACAUGAGCUCAAAGGAUAAUAACCAUUGGGGAGGAAGACCCCCUUAUAUAGGUGGGGACAAAUCCAACCGUUAUGCCUCAGUUUGCAGUAAAGCGGUACUACGGCUCCUAGGAGUGGUACUGCCACUUAAUGCGGUUGUUUCAGGUGUAGUAGAGUGAGCAUGUGAAGUGCGGGAACGGUACUCCUGUCGGAGCUGUACUUCCGUCCCCCAUCAGCGGUACUAGUGCUUAUGUGACCCAGUAUAGAGAAAUAAAGGUAUUGAGAGGUGCCGAAGCAGCACUACCAGUUAACUAUCGCUUUGUACUGUGAAAGCCGCGAAGGGCAACACAAGCCUCAAAUAAGGAGUAGUAGCACCGGUACUAGAAUGUGGUAGUACCGCGUGGGCAGUACUAAUACUUGUGAUCUGCAUUGGGUUUUUCCCAAAGGGGAAGGGAUGAUGCAGCACAUUAUAGAUAAGUAUUUCCCUCAGUGAGAACCAAGGUUAUCGAACCAAUAGGAGAACCGCACAAUUUCCCGUCUUCAGUGCCUUCAAACAAAAGGUCAUACACUUGCACCCAACACGGGAAAGCGGGUUGUCAAUCCCCUUGAACUUGUUAUUUCCAACACGGGAGGGGACGAGGAGGCCGACUCCCUAGGAGGUCUCCUAGGGUCAGGCGACGACCACCAAGAGGUGCCUUGGCCCUCAAGGAAGGAGGGGCGGCGGCCACCUCUGGGCCUGCCCAGCCCCUUGGCCGCAUGGGCCUUAGGUGGAAGGGGCGGCCAGCCCACGAGGGGCUAGUGCACCAUCUCUCACAGCCCAUGGGGCCCUCCUGGGCAGGUGGACCCUCCCGGUGGACCCCGAUAACACCUUUUGGAACCUCCUUCACAAAACCAGUAACUUUCAAAACUCUUUAGGAACUCGAAUACGAACUACCUAUAUAUCAAUCUAUAACUCUGAACCAUUCUGAAGCUCCUCGUCAUGUCCGGGAUCUCAUCUGGAACUCCAAACAACUUUCGGUAAGUAACACAAUAACUCAACUAUAUCUAUAUGAUCAUUGAAUGCUAAGCGCGUGGACCCUACAGGUUUCAGAACUAUGUAGACAUGACUGAUACACCUCUAUGGUCAAUAACCAAUAGCGGGAUCUGGAUUCCCAUAUUGCUUCCUACAUGUUCUACUAAGAUCUAUAUCAUUCGAACCACGAUGUCAAGGAUUCAGCUAAUCAUGUCCAUCGGUAUGUUACUUUCUCGAGAUUCAAUCAUCGCUAUCUCCAUACCUAGUUCAAUCUCGUUAUCGGCGAGUCUCUUUACUCGUUCUAUAAUACAAGAUCCCGUGACUAACUCCUUAGUCUCUCCCUCAUACGGGGUGACAAAUCCCAGUCUUGAUCCAUGCCAACUCAAAAGACACACUCAGAGAUACCUGUAGUGCAUCUUUAUAAUCACCCAGUUACGUUGUGAGGUUUUAUACACACAAGGCAUUCCUCAGUGUCAGGGUGUUGCAUGAUCAAAGGAACAGAUACAUUGACAUGGAAAAAGGAAGAGCAGUAAACUUGAUACGAUCAAAUGCUAUUCUUACGGUUUGGGUCUUGUCCAUCACAUCUCCUAAUGAUGCGAUCCCGUUAUCAAAUAACAAGUCAUGUCUUUGGCUAGGAAACCUUAACCAUCUUUGAUCAAUGAGCUAAUCUAGUAGAGGCUUACCAGGGACACUUUGUUGUCUAUGUAUCCACACAUGUAUUUGAGUUUCCAAUCAAUACAAUCAUAGCAUGGAUAAUAAACGAUUAUCACAAAAAAGGAAAUAUAAUAAUAUCAACUUUAUAAUUGCCUCUAGGGCAUAUUUCCAACAGUCUCCCACUUGCACUAGAGUGAAUAAUAUAGUUUUACAUGUUAAUGAAUCUAACACCAAUAGAGUUCUAGCGCUGAUCAUGUUUUGCUCACUGAAGAGGUUUAGUCAACAGAUCUACUACAUUAAGAUCUGCAUGUAUAUUGCAAAUGUUUAUGUCGUCCUCCUUGAUAUAAUCUACGAUGGAAUUGAAACGACGCUUUAUGUGUCUGGUAAUUUUGUGAAAGCUAGGUUCCUUGGCUAGAGCAAUGGCACGAGUGUUGUCACAAAAUAGGGUCAUUGCAUCUAGUGCAGUCGGCACAACUCCAAGAUCCGUCAUGAACUGCUUUAUCCACAUAGCUUCCUUCACUGCUUUCGAAGCAACUAUAUAAUCCACUUCACAUGUAGAAUAAGCUACCAUGCUUUGCUUGGAACUGCACCAGCUUACAGCUGCAUCAUUCAGAAUAAUACAUAUCUGGAUUGAGACUUAGAGUCAUCCGGAUCAGUGCCAAAGCUAGCAUCAAUGUAACCCUUUACGACGAGCUCUUGAUCACCUCUAUAAACGAGAAACAUUUCCUUAGUCCUUUUGAGGUACUUAAGGAUAUUCUUGACCGCUGUCCAGUGUUCCACUCCUGGAUCACUUUGAAACCUUCUAGCCAUACUUAUGGCAAGGCUGACAUCUGGUCUUGUGCACAACAUCGCAUACAUGAUAGAGCCUAUGGCCGAGGCAUAUGGGAUGACACUCAUAUUCUCUCUAUCCUCUGUAGUCGUUGGGCAUUGAGUCUUUACUCAACUUCACACCUUGCAGGACAGGCAAGAACCCCUUCUUGGACUGAUACUUUUUGAACUUCUUCAAAACCAUAUAAGCCUAUGUGCUUUGUGCCUCGAGCUAUCAUUGAUGCCCAAUAUGUAAGCAACUUCUCCCAGAUCUUUCAUUGAAAAACUCUUGUUCAAAUAUAUCUUCAUGCUUUCCAAAAGUUCUAUAUUAUUUCCAAUUAGCAAUAUGUCAUCCACAUAUAAUAUCAAAAACACUAGAGAGCUCCCAAUCACUUUCUUGCAAAUACAAGCUUCUCCAUAAACUUGUAUAAACCAAACGCUUUGACCACCUCAUCGAAGCGAAGAUUCCAACUCCGAGAUGCUUGCACCAGUACAUAAAUGGACCGCUAGAGCUUGCAUACUUUGUCAGCAUUCUGUGGAUCGACAAAACCUUUCGGUUGCACAUAUACAACUCUUCCUUAAGGAAACCAUUAAGGAACACUAUUUUGACAUGCUUCUACGAGAUUUCAUUAUCGAAAAAUCCAGUUGUUGCUAAUAUGAUUCUGUCAGACUAAAGCAUCGCUACGGGUGAGCAAGUAUCAUCGUAGUCAACUCCUUGAACUUGUGAAAACCCCUUUGCAACAAUUCGAGCUUUAUAGACGGUGACAUUACCGUGUGUGUGUGUCAUCCUCUUAAAGAUCCAUUUGUUCUGAAUAGACUUUUGACCCUCAGGUAAUACUUCCAAAGUCCACACUUAAUUUUCAUACAUGGAUCCUAUCUCUAAUUUCAUGGCCUCUAGCCAUUUGUUGGAAUACGGGAACACCAUCGCUUCUCCAUAGCUCGUAGGUUCAUUGGUGUCCAACAACAUGACCUUCAAGACAGGAAUACAGUACCACUCAGGAGUAGUACGUGUCCUUGUCGACCUACGACGUUCGGUAGUAACUUGAUCUGAAGCUUCAUGAUCACCAUCACAAGCUUCCUCUUCAACUCGUGUAGUUGCCACAGGAACAUCGCCCCGCGCCCUGCUGCUCUUUGGUUGAAGUGACGGUUUUCGUCAUCUUGCCCAUGAGGCAUGGUUCACGUGUAUCAAGUGACUCUAAAAGUCCAUCAACAUGGAGCUUAUUCAUCGAUUUUACACCAAUAUGACCUAAGUGCCAGUGCCACAAUAAAGUGGUGCUAUCAUUAUUAACUCUGCAUCUUUUGGCAUCAAUGUUAUAGAUAUGUGUAUCAUCACUAUAUAGAUUCAACAAGAAUAAACCAUUCACAUUGGGUACAUGACCAUAAAACAUAUUACUCAUAUAAACAAAACAACCAUUAUUCACUAAUUUAAAUGAGUAACCGUCUCACAUUAAACGAGAUCCACAUAUAAUGUUCAUGCUCAACGCAGGCACCAAAUAACAAUUAUUUAGGUUCAUAACUAAUCCCAAUGGUAAUCGCAGAGCGAGCAUGCUGACGACGCUCACAUCAACCUUGGAACCAUUUCCCACACGCAUCGUCACUUCAUCCUUUGCCAGCCUCCACUUAUUCUGUAGUUCCUUCUUCGAUUUACAAAUAUGAGCAACCGAUCCGGUAUCAAAUACCCAAACAUACAACGAGAGCUAGUAAUGUACACAUCAAUAACAUGUAUAUCAAAUAUACCUUUGUUGACUUUGCGAGCCUUCUUAUCGGCCAGAUACUUGGGGCAAUUUCGCUUCCUGUGGCCAGUUCCCUUGCAAUAGAAGUACCCAGGCUUAGGCUUGGAUCCAGCCUUGGGUUUCUUCACGGGAGUGGCAACUGCUUUGUCGUUCUUCUUGAGGUUUUCCCUCUUUCUCUUGCCCUUCUUCAAACUAGUGGUUCUAUUCACCAUCAGCACUUGAUUCUCCUUCUUGAUUUCUACUUGCGUGACUUUCAGCAUCACGAAUGGCUCAGAGAUGGACUUGUUCAUCCCUUGCAUAUUAUAGUUCACCAUGAAGCUCUUGUAGCUAGGAUGCUGUGAUUGAAGAACUCUAUCAGUGUCCGUCUCUCGCGGAAUAUCAACUCCCACCUGAGUCAAACGGUUGUAGUACCCAAACAUUGCGAGUAUGUGCCCACUGAUAGAAUUGUUCUCCUCCAUCUUGCAGCAAAUAAUUUAUCGAGGUGUCAUACCUCUCGAUUCAGGCAUUUGCUUGAAAAACAAAGUUCAACUCAUGGAACAUCUCAUAUGCUCCAUGGCGUUCAAUAUGCCUUUGAUGUCCUAAUUCUAAGUCGUACAACAUGGCACACUGAACUAUCGAGUAGUCAUCAGCACACACCUUCCAGACGUUCACAACAUCCACAUGGGACCCUACAGGGGGUGGUGCACCAAGCAGCGCAUCAAUGAUAUAAGCCUUUUGCGAAGCCGCGAGGAUAAUCCUUAGAUUACGGACUCAGCCGCAAAUUUACUUCCAUCAUCUUUCAAGUUAGCUUUCUCUAGGAACACAUUUAAAUUCAGGGGAGCUACUGCGUGAGUGAUUGAUCUACAACAUAAUUUUGCAACGACAACUUAGACUAUGUUCAUGAUAAUGAGUUCAGUUAAUUAUAUUACUUAGGAACUCCCACUCAAAUCAACAUCCCUCAGGUUGUCCGAGUGUAACAUGAUCCAAAUCCACCAACCCAAGUCCAAUCAUCAUGUGAGAUGCGGUGGUUUCAAUGGUGAACAUUUCCAUGUUGAUCAUGUCUAGUAUAUGACUCAUGUUCGACCGUUUGGUAGCUUUUGUUUGUAGGCCAUGUUUGUACAUGUUAGGCUCGUCAAGUUUAGCCCAAGUGUUCUACAUGUGCAAAACUAGCUUACACGCAUUGUAUGCGAAUGUAGUGUCUAUCACACCUGAUCAUCACAAUGUGCUUCAAAAUGAUGAACCUUCGCAAUGGUGGACACUUCGGGAGAACACAAUUUUAUCUUGAAAUUUUAGUGAGGGAUCAUGUUAUAAUGCUACCAUCGUCCUAAGCAAAAUAAGAUGCAUAAAAGUAUUAACAUCACAUGAAAAUCAUAUAAGUGACAUGAUAUGGCCAUCAUCAUCUUGUGGUCUUGAUCUCCAUCUCCAAAGCAUCGGCAUGAUCUCCAUCGCCACAUGCACGACACCAUGAUCUCCAUCAUCGUGUCGUCAUUGGGCUUGUCGCGCCAACUAUGCUUCCACAACUAUUGCUAACUCAUAGCGAUAAAGUAAAGCAAAAAGUCACAAAUAAAUCAAAGACAAUCCUAUGGCUCCUGACGGUUGUCGUACUCAUUGACAUGCAAGUCAUGAUAAUUGUAUACAAAACAGGAUCAUCUCAUACAUCACAUAUACCGCAUCAUGUCUUUGGCAAUAUCACAUCACAAUAUGCCCUACAAAAACAAGUUAGACUUCCAAUACUUUGUUUUUGCAAGUUUUACAUGAUUGCUAUGGGAAACUAUCAAGAACCCUUCUUACCUAGGUGAUAUUCAAGUUGCUAUUUAACCUUCCACAAGGACCGUCUCUGCCAAAUCCGAUUCAACUAAAUUGGGAGAGACAGACACUCGCCAACCAUGUUUAUGCAACUAAGUUACAUGCCAGCCGAUGGAACUGGUCUCUUGUACGUGGACAAGUAAGGUUGGUCCAGGCCGUUUCAUCCCACAAUAUUGCCGAAUGAACAUAAGACUAAGGAAUUAAGCAAUUUGAACAUCAACGCCCCAAAACACUUUAUGUUCUACUUGUACAUAUCAUCUACGCAUAGACCUAGCUCAUGAUGCCACUGUUGGGGAACGUUGCAUGGGAAUCAUAAAUUUUCCUACGACCACCCAUGAUCAAUCUAUGGAGAUCAAAUCUAUGAGAGUGGAAGUGCAUCUACAUACCCUUGUAGAUCGCUAAGCGGAAGCGUUAAGAAACACUGUUGAUGUAGUUGAACGUCUUCGUGAUCCAAUCACGUCCCAAUCAAGUGCCGAACGGAUGCCACCUCUCCGGUCAGCACAUGUACAACUCGAUGAUGCCUUCACCACCUCGAACUAGCGAGCGAAGGUGAAGUAGUAGUUUGAGUUCUCCAACGGCACGACAGUGUGGUGGUGGUGAUGGAGCUGUCGCGGCAGGGCUUCGCCAGGUGCUACCGCAACAGGAACAAGGGAGAAGUACUACCAGAGAGAGGGGGCUACUCCAUGGCUCUUGGGUGCGACUGCCCUCCCUCUCCUGUAGUAUAUAUAGGGGGGAGGAGGACGCUGGGACCUAGGGUUUCCCAUAGGGUGGGGCGGCGGCCACCAAGAGGUGCCUUGGCCCUCAAGGAAGAAGGAGCGACAACCACCUCUCGGCCAGCCCAUCACCUUGGCCUCAUGGGCCUUAGGUGGGAGUGGCGUCCAGCCCACUAGGGGAUGGUGCAACCCCUCUCAUAGUCCAUCGGGCCCUCUUUGGCAGUGGACCCUCCUGGUGGAUCCCCGGAACACUUUCCAAAACCUCCGCACAAAAUUGCUAACUUCCGAAACUCUUCCGGAACUCGAAUACCAACUUCCCAUAUAUCAAUAUUUACCUCGAGACCAUUUCAAAGCCUCUCUUCAUGUCCGGGAUCACAUCUGGGACUCUGAACAACCUUCGUAAACCAACACAAUAACUCAACUAUAUCUAUAUCGUCAUCAAUGUUAAGCGUGCGGACCCUGUGGGUUCGAGAACUAUGCAGACAUUACCGAGAUAGCUCUAUGAUCAAUAAACAAUAGAGGGAACUCAAUGACAUAUUGGUUCAUACGUAUUCUACAAAGCUCUAUAUUGGUCGAACCAUGAUGUCGAGGAUUCAACCAAUUUCGUUUCAGUUUCCUUUAUCCAUCGGUAUGUUACUUGCCCGAGAUUUGAUCGUCGGUAUCUCCAUACCUAGUUCAAUCUCAUUAGCGACAAGUCUCUUUAGUCGUUACAUAAUACAAGAUCCCAUGACUAACUCCUUAGUCACAUUGCUGGCAAGCUUCUUGUGAUGCUGUAUUACCGAAUGGGCCCAGAGAUACCUCUCCGUCAUACGGAGUGAAAAAUCCUAGUCUCAAUCCAUGCCAACUCAAUAGACACAUUCGAACAUACCUGUAGAGCAUCUUUAUAAUCACCCAAUUAGGUUGUUAUGUUUUAUGCACACAAGGAAUUCCUCCGGUGUCAUGUAGUUGGAUGAUCUCAUGGUUAUAGGAACAGAUACAUUGACAUGCAGAAAGCAAUAGCAGUAAACUUGAUAUGAUCAAAUGCUAUGCUUAUGGUUUGGGUCUAGUCCAUCAAAUCAUUCUCCUAAUGAUGUGAUCCCGUUAUCAAAUGCCAAAUCAUGUCUAUGGCUAAGAAAUCUUAACCUUCUUUGUUCAACGACCUAGUCUAGUAUAUGCUUACCACGGACACUUUGUUGUCUAUGUAUUCACACAUGUAUUUGAGAUUCCAAUCAAUACAAUUAUAGCAUGGAUAAUAAACGAUUACCAUAAACAAGGAAAUAUAAUAAUAACCACUUUAUUAUUUCCUUUAGGGCAUAUUUCCAACAAUCCAGUGGUGAGCAUCAUGGAAUUGUUGAUGGAAAAGGGUUGAUGAUGAUAAUAGUGACAAAUCCCCCUGUGUGGAGCCCCAAACGGACUCGAUAUCAGCCCUCCCGAGAAAGAAGGGGAGGUGGCGGCGGCUCCAUCUUGUAAAACAUGAUGAAAUCUUCUAUCUAAUUUUUUCUAUGAAGAUGUCAAUUUAUAGUACUAGAAUUAGGGUCGGAGGAGUCACGUGGGCCCCACAAGCCAUCAAGGAGCGCCUAGGGGGGUGGGCGCGCCCUGUUGCCUUGUGGACCAUAGACAGCCAUCCUCUGGUGGUUCAUCACUCCAUAAUUCAUUGUAGAUUCCAGAAAUAAAUCACAAAAACAUUCAUACAAUUCCAAGGACUUUUAUUAUCUGCACAAAAAUAACACCAUGGUAUUUCUGCUGAAAACAACGUUAGUACGGGUUAGUUCCAUUCAAAUCAUGCAAAUUAGAGUCCAAAACGAGAGCGGAAGUGUUUGGAAAAGUAGAUAAGUUGGAUAUAUAUCAACUCCCCCAAGCUUAAAUAAUUUCUUGUCCUCAAGAAAUUUAGUUGAUAAACUUAAAGUGAUAAAGAAAACUUCUACAAACUCUUUUGUUCUCGAUGCCAUAUAAAUGCUUAGCUAAUGUUCAGGUUUUUAGCAUAAAUCAUAACUAAUCAUAUCCAUGAUAAUAAUUAAGCAUCAUAUUCAAUCAUGGAAAUACAUAACCAACUAGCAAGCAAUAAUAAUAUAUCUCACAUGCCAACAAUUUUUGAAAACAAUCAUGAUAUAAUAUGGUGACAUGGUAUCUCGCUAGCCCUUUCCGAGACCACAAAACAUGAAUGUAGAGCACCUGUGAGGUUGAAGCAACGACUAAGGUUGAAAAAUGACUAAACAUUAUAAUUUAGGGUAGAAAGGAUCCACUUCAUGCUCACAUCCAACAUUAACUAGACUCAAUGCAUAAGAAUGACAAUAGUGCACUCUGGUCUGGUGCUUUUAGGAAGAGAGUGAUGACUCAACAUACAAGUAAAUAUAUAGGCCAUUCGCAAAGAGAAGCAUUGAUUUGUAGAUGUUCUAGAGCUCAAGUUUUAAAACGGGAUUGAGUAUACAGUUUUUGAGUGGUGUUCUUUGCUGUCAACAUUAUGACAAAGGUUUUCACUAUCUUCCAUGCUAAACUCAUUAUUGGUGGUUCCCAAACAGAAUUGUAAAGUUUAGUCCUAUCCACCAUCCAUUCACAAACCUUGGCUUGUCGAAUUCACGGGUGCCCUCCAACAUAUCAACAUGUCCCAAGGAGUUUGGUUUAUUUUAAUUUUGAUUAUGCAGGAGUUGGCAUCCUUUUUACCAACCUCUCCCAUGCAAUGAUGGCGAAUAAACAACCGCCCUGAGAAUAGCUUACUUAGCAUAGACGAUACCGACCGCCCCGUCGCUGCAUGAGCGAUACGAGUGCACAAAAUAAAUGUUUGUUUGAAUAUUUAGAGGUGGCACAUGCAAAUUUACUUGGAACGGCAGGGUAAUACCGCAUAUAGGUAGGUAUGGUGGACUCAUGUGGAAUAUCUUGGUUUCAUGAUUUUGGAUGCACAAGUAGCAUUCCCGCUUAGUACAGGUAAAGGCUAGCAAAAGAAUGGAAAGCAACCAUUUAGAGAAACAAAAUGGUCAUAAACAUGUAUUGAGAAUAAUUAACAUUAAACAUUAGCAUGGGUAGGAUAUGAAUAGUAUACAUUUAACUAUCAUGAAGGCUGCAUUCGUUUUGAAUCAACUACAUGUUUGCACAUGGGCCAAGUCAAGCCGCUCGAAUCACUCAAAGGGAAAUACCGUACUUCCAUACCACAUCAUAACCAUUUUAAUGCAUGUUGACACACAAGAUAAAUCAUUAUCCACUCCUAGCUAUUUAAUCAUGGCAUGAUAAAUUAUAAUCUCUAAUUAUCAUCAUAAAAAUGUUCACUCAUGAUAUACCGAAUCAAGAUCAAACGAGCUAAACAUAUUCACAAAAAUGGAAAACAAGAAGAGUUCAUACCCGUUUCUGUUGCCACUAUCACUUCGUAAAAUAGCAUCAUUAUUGCCUUCCACUUGCAUGACCGAAUGAUGUGAUAAUAAUAACAAUGCAGGUGCGUCAUGGACUAAGCUGAAAUCUGCAAGGUAUUUGUGCAAAGGAGAAGACAUGGUAAUAUUGGCUCUUUGUUAGAACGAUAAUAAAGCAUAUGAGAGCCACACAACAUUCUCAUCGUGGUCUUAUGCUUUCAACGACUCAAAGAAAAGAAAAAAAUUCAAAGAAACACACUCAAAUAUUUUUGGAGUUUUCGCUUGAAGAAAGCAAAAAAUCGAAGGAAAAAGAAAAAUGAGAAAAACUAUUUACACGAAAGCUUCCAACAAGUAAAGGAAAUAUUUUUGUGUUUUAUUUUAAUAUUAAAACUAAUUAAAUUUGAAAUAAAAACCAAAAAUAAGCGAGAAAUAUUUUUGGCUUUUCUAAGAUUUUCAAACACACAAGAGGAAAGCGGGAAAAUAAAACUAACAUGGAUUUACAAUGAAAAAGGAUGAACACCGAUAAUUUAUAUGAAGUGUGUGAACAUGAAUGUAAUGUACGUCACAAAUAUGUACCCCCAAGCUUAGGCGUUUGCCUACCUUGGUGACCACCAUCGCUGGUCUAGAUAGUAGUCGAAGUGGUAGGUUGGGGAAUUGUUGUGUGCGGCCUCCUGUGCCAAGUGAGCUACUUCCAUUGCAGCGUUGUGCUCUUGCACCUCACUCUCAAGAACAUAGUAUCUCCAUUUAUUCGGGAAAAAAGAGCAGGCGUAGGCAAAGUACCUGAAAUAGGAUUAUAUGUAUUAAAUAUUAAUUUAUACUCACAUCCUCUGGCACUAUGCGUAAUUAGGUCAUGACGGCGCAUGGCUUCAAAGUUGAAAUAUCUCUCACGUAGCAUAGGGUCAUUAGGUUGGGGUGAAAUGUUCAGACUUGUGGCUACACGGGCAACAUUAAUACCACAAUAUAGGUCACCACUAUUUGCGUUAGAUUGCAACCUACUAGCAACAAUGGCACCGAGGUUAUAAUGUCUCUCGCCAGUCACCGCUAUAUGAAUAAGGCUCAAAUCGGGACCGCACAAUCCACUAUUAUCGUGCUUACCCACUACACAUUUUCCAUUAAACAGUGCAAAGUAGCGAAUAGAGGGAAAUUGAAUAUUUUUUAUUCUAGCUUGUGUCACCCCUCUAUCUUCUCCAACGCAAAGAGUCUCCAGGAACAAAUUAUAAUCAGAUUUUCACGGUUUUUCUAGCGAGCCCCAAUAGGGGUGUUUGCAUGCCUCGCAAAAUUCCUUUGAAGAUAGACUAUUUUUUGAAUCAUAGAGAUUAAACAACACUCUAGAACUAUGAUGAUGGUAUCGAAAUCCAUGCGUGAAUGUACGAGUAAGAUUAUAGUGUUCGAUACACUUAUCCACGAGGAAGUCAGCGAGGCCGGUAUUCUAAAUGUGCUAAUUGAAUUCCUCCUUAAUGCAUGCACCGCUCAUCAACGCAUCGCAUGGCCAAUGACAUGAUUUAGCAUCUGACAUGACUGUCCGUCUAACUCUGGAAUCCACAUAAGCUUGUCGUACCGAUCCCUCGCCCAAUGACUCACCCAAAGAACGCCUCCUUGAGGAACUACUCAUGAAGAAGUUCAUAUUCUGACACACAAAUUUCAGGAAUUUUUGUACCACAAAACUAUGUGAGUAAAACUUUGCAAGAUUGAUAGCAACUACUCGUAUGGAUGCCCAGAGGACAUAUCAAGCAUUAACGCUACAUGGAACUCAAAGAAUUAAAAUGCAAGCUCAUUUUUAGUAGCACCAAGUGCAGCAAAAUAUUCAAAAUAUAAAUGACUAAAUAAAAAACUAAUUGGAUGAAUGGGGGAGUCACAUACCAAGGAGUAAUUCCUCAAAACAAUUUCGGAAACGGAGUUCCCAGCAAAGGGAUCAAAAAUUCUAGUUUCUAGAGGAAGAACUAGAGAGAGAGAGAGAUCUAGAGAUUUUUUUCUGGAGGUAGGUGAUGAAGUGAGUUGAAGGGAUAAGGCGGGGGCCCCCGUGGGCCCCACAAGCAAUUAGGGCGUGCCGAGGAGGGUGUGCAUGGACUGUUGGCUUGUGGCCCACAGGGGUACCUCGCUGUUGUAAUUUUUGCACGAGAAUUUCUUAAAUAAUCCAGAAAAAUUCAUGUUAAAACUCUAUGGCAUUCUAAGACUUUUUAUUUUUGGGUCAUUUUUCUAUUGCACGAAAACUAAGGAAACAGGAAAAUCAUCGAAUUUGAUUUUGCUUAACUAAGAAUAACAGAGGGUAAACUUGUGAUAUAGAGAGUUAUGAAUGCUCAAUUCAUCAAUCACAUGUCUUUCAAAAAGGAUCUAUUAAUAAGGUUCAUCAAGUCUUACUAAUAGCCGUUUCGGAUUGACAUGAAACCGAAGAAUUUUCAUAUAUCACUAGGUUACCUCAAUGGGGAUUUGCAUCCGCCCAACAAUAAAAUUGUAAUAAAUUCUCUUGGCAAUAGGUAGAGGGAUUUGAAAAUAUCCAAUGAUAAUGUGGCACAAGGAUCAAUGACAUUAAUAUUGUUAUCCAUAGCUUGCUUCUUCGGAAAAUGGACGAUAUGUUGCUUGCCACUGACAUGAAAAGUUACCUUCCUUUUGUUGCAAUCAAUAACAUCCCCUACAGUAUUAGAAAGGGUCUACCAAGGAUGAUCGACAUAUUGUCGUCCUCAUCCAUAUCAAGAAUAACAAUUUUAUUAAGAUAGUAACAUUUGCAAACACAACAGGAACAUCCUCGCAAAUUCUAAUAGGUAAAGAAGUGGUAUUAUCACCCAUUUGCAAAGGUAUCUCAGUGGGUGUAAGAUUAUUCAAAUCUAGUCUUUUAUAGAGAGAUAAAGUCAUAACACUAACACCAGCUCCUAAAUGAGAUAGAUCAGUUUUAACAUAAUUUCUUUUAAUAAAGGAAGGUAGAGUGGGUAUGCCAGGAUUUCCCAACUUCUUAGGUACUCCACCAUCAAAAGAAUAAUUAGCAAGCAUAGUAGAAAUUUCAAUCUCAUGUAUUUUUCUCUUAUUGGUGAUAAUAUCCUUCGUAAACUUAGCAUACGGAGGCAUUUUCAAUAUAUCAAUCAAGCGAGUACGCAAAAAGGUAGGUCUAAUCAUUUCAGUAAAGCGCUCAAAUUCUUCCUUGUCCUUCCCUUUAUAAGGUUUACGAGGGAAGGACUUGGGUUUCUGAACCCAUGUAUCUCUUUCUUUUCCAUGUUUCCUAGCAACAAAGUCUCUUUUAUCAUAGCUUUUAUUCCUAGUGCGUGGGUUAUCAAGAUUUUCAACACGUUCUGUUUCCACAUCAUUAUUAGGUUCCACAUUACUAUCCGGUGGAUCUUCUACAUGAACAUCAUUAUUAUCGUUAUCAUUAUCACUAAGUUCAUGUUCGCUAUUAGAUUGUGUCUCACCAUCAGAAAUAGAAACAUCAUUAUGAUUCUCAACAGGGUUUUCUAUAACAGGUUUACUAGGAGCAUGCAAAUUCUAUCAUUUUUCUUUUCUUUUUCUUCUUAGAAGGACUAGGUUUAUCAUCAUUUAUUCUCUCAGAAUCCCGUUCAAUUCUUUUAGGGUGACCCUCAAGAUAAAGAGGUUCCUGAGUCAUGCAACCUCCUCUAGUCAUCACUCUAACAACAUGAUCAUUCAUAUUAUCAUUUAUUACAGCAAGUAUAUCAUUUCGUGACUUACAACUUGGUCCAGUUGGGUGUGAACCAUAGAUGCAUGUUUAUCUGGACCUUUCACAUCAUUAGCAAUUCUAAACAUCAAGUCACUUAAGCGGUCUAUCAUCAUGGAAUUUCGUCUUAAUUGAUCCUUAACAUAGUUAUUAAAGUGCUUUUUCUUAACAAUGUAAUUAUCAAAUUCAUCCAUGCAUUGACUAGGAGUCUUAGUAUAAGGUAUAUCACUUUCAUUAAAUGAAUGAGGAGAAUUUACCUCUACUACCUAUGUUGGAAUAUCAGGUCCAUGAAUUUCUUUG
This 42351-nucleotide long non-coding RNA is filed under the name Hordeum vulgare. Its description in RNAcentral is "long non-coding RNA (HVUL_LNC011099)". The record is from RNAcentral. Lineage: Eukaryota; Viridiplantae; Streptophyta; Magnoliopsida; Poales; Poaceae.